GAUGAACGCUGGCGGCGUGCCUAAUACAUGCAAGUCGAGCGAACAGACGAGGAGCUUGCUCCUCUGACGUUAGCGGCGGACGGGUGAGUAACACGUGGAUAACCUACCUAUAAGACUGGGAUAACUUCGGGAAACCGGAGCUAAUACCGGAUAAUAUAUUGAACCGCAUGGUUCAAUAGUGAAAGACGGUUUUGCUGUCACUUAUAGAUGGUUCCGCGCCGCAUUAGCUAGUUGGUAAGGUAACGGCUUACUACGGCAACGAUGCGUAGCCGACCUGAGAGGGUGGUCGGCGGCAUUGGAGCUGAGACGCGGUCCAGACUCCUGCGGGAGGCCGCAGAAGGGAAUCUUACGCAAUGGGCGAGAGCCUGACGGAGCAACGCCGCGUGAGUGAUGAAGAUGUUCGGAUCGUAAAACUCUGUUAUUAGGGAAGAACAAAUGUGUACGGAACUGUGCACGUCUUGACGGUACCUGAUCAGAAAGCCACGGCUAACUACGUG
This 497-nucleotide ribosomal RNA is filed under the name uncultured bacterium. RNAcentral describes it as "partial 16S ribosomal RNA". It matches the Rfam family "Bacterial small subunit ribosomal RNA", at positions 28 to 507 of the family's 1533-position model. The record is from RNAcentral.